AGGUUCCUGAGGUGUACGUCGGCUCUAAUAAUCCAACACCGACACUAUAGAAGAGGGAAUCCGGGUCCAAUAGUGUAUGAUAUGCCUUAUAGAGUAAGGACAUCAAAAGCUAUUGGCAGGGUACCCACUUGCGUGAGGACUGGGUGUGGAUUAAAGAGCAGGCGGCAUCAUGGGAUUUCC
RNAcentral lists this non-coding RNA (180 nucleotides) under Thermohalobacter berrensis. RNAcentral describes it as "6S / SsrS RNA". It matches the Rfam family "6S / SsrS RNA". Rfam says of the family: E. coli 6S RNA was the first non coding RNA to be sequenced, but its function was unknown until recently. It consists of 184 nucleotides that fold into an extended hairpin structure with a large single-stranded internal bulge. The record is from Rfam by way of RNAcentral. Lineage: Bacteria; Bacillati; Bacillota; Tissierellia; Tissierellales; Thermohalobacteraceae.